This 460-nucleotide ribosomal RNA is filed under the name uncultured bacterium. Its description in RNAcentral is "partial 16S ribosomal RNA". It matches the Rfam family "Bacterial small subunit ribosomal RNA", at positions 338 to 795 of the family's 1533-position model. The record is from RNAcentral.
CCUACGGGAGGCAGCAGUGAGGAAUAUUGGUCAAUGGGCGGAAGCCUGAACCAGCCAAGUAGCGUGCAGGAUGACGGCCCUACGGGUUGUAAACUGCUUUUAUACGGGAAUAACGCGCCUUACGUGUAGGGCUUUGCAUGUACCGUAUGAAUAAGGACCGGCUAAUUCCGUGCCAGCAGCCGCGGUAAUACGGAAGGUCCGGGCGUUAUCCGGAUUUAUUUGGGUUAAAGGGAGCGUAGGCCGCAUGUCAAGCGUCCUGUGAAAUGUCCGGGCCCAACCCGGGCCUUGCAGCGCGAACUGGCGUGCUUGAGUCCGCGGAAAGUAGGCGGAAUUCGGGGUGUAGCGGUGAAAUGCUUAGAUAUGACGAAGAACCCCGAUUGCGAAGGCAGCUUGCUGCAGCGGAACUGACGCUGAUGCUCGAAAGCGUGGGUAUCGAACAGGAUUAGAUACCCCUGUAGUC